CUAAAGGGAGAGAGGGAAGAGGGAAGGAGGGAUAACGUAGGAAAGAGAU
MicroRNA precursor from Bos indicus x Bos taurus (hybrid cattle), 49 nucleotides. The record is from Ensembl. Lineage: Eukaryota; Metazoa; Chordata; Mammalia; Artiodactyla; Bovidae.